AGCAGGCACAAUAUAAGUUACUGGUGAGCCGCCCCCGGAGGAGGGUGAUGGCAUGCCAGUGAAGCUAGCUGGGCAUUUAAAGUUCAUGCUUACAUUGGCAAACCAUAUUCAGCAUUAUUGGGUCCAACGCUGGUAGUAAAGAUGGUGUAGCGGCGAAGAAACCAAAGCGGUAUAAAGU
Long non-coding RNA from Lolium rigidum, 178 nucleotides. RefSeq lists it as uncharacterized. The transcript is spliced from 3 exons. NCBI's taxonomy places the organism in Eukaryota, Viridiplantae, Streptophyta, Magnoliopsida, Poales, Poaceae. The record is from RefSeq and is a predicted model, not a curated record.